CACCGCGGUUAGACGGGUUGGCUCAAGUUGAGCUAUUCGGCGUAAAGGGUGGUUAAUGAUAAAUACACUAAGGCCGAACUUCAUCAGAGCCCUGGUAAGCCACGAUGACAUGGAAGCCCCCUAGCGAAAGUAGCUUUAAGUAUUAUGACCCCACGAAAGCUAGGAGA
This 167-nucleotide ribosomal RNA is filed under the name Eviota pellucida (transparent dwarfgoby). RNAcentral describes it as "partial 12S ribosomal RNA". The record is from RNAcentral. Lineage: Eukaryota; Metazoa; Chordata; Actinopteri; Gobiiformes; Gobiidae.